UUUAAGUGAAGAGUUUGAUCCUGGCUCAGAGUGAACGCUGGCGGUAGGCCUAACACAUGCAAGUCGAACGGCAGCACAGGAGAGCUUGCUCUCUGGGUGGCGAGUGGCGGAC
Molecule: ribosomal RNA, 112 nt
Filed under: Bacillus sp. Nf3
Lineage: Bacteria; Bacillati; Bacillota; Bacilli; Caryophanales; Bacillaceae
Description: partial 16S ribosomal RNA
Rfam family: Bacterial small subunit ribosomal RNA
Source: RNAcentral